This 482-nucleotide ribosomal RNA is filed under the name uncultured bacterium. RNAcentral's name for it is "partial 16S ribosomal RNA". It matches the Rfam family "Bacterial small subunit ribosomal RNA", at positions 30 to 507 of the family's 1533-position model. The record is from RNAcentral.
AUUGAACGCUGGCGGCAUGCUUUACACAUGCAAGUCGAACGGUAACAGCACUUCGGUGGCUGACGAGUGGCGAACGGGUGAGUAAUACAUCGGAACGUGCCUAGUAGUGGGGUAUAACUACUCGAAAGAGUAGCUAAUACCGCAUGAGAUCUAAGGAUGAAAGCAGGGGACCUUCGGGCCUUGCGCUACUAGAGCGGCUGAUGGCAGAUUAGUUAGUUGGUGGGAUAAGAGCUUACCAAGCCGACGAUCUGUAGCGGGUGUGAGAGGACGAGCGGCGACACUGGGACUGAGACACGGCCCAGACUCCUACGGGAGGCAGCAGUGGGGAAUGUGGGACAAUGGGCGCAAGCCUGACCCAGCAAUGCCGCGUGCAGGAUGAAGGCCUCCGGGUUGUAAACAGCUUUUGUACGGAACGAAAAGCUCUCUCCUAAUACAGGAGGGUAAUGACGGUACCGUAAGAAUAAGCACCGGCUAACUACGUG